CGUAGGUCCUUAUCUAUCGUGCACCUCAUACAAUUCAAUGUCUAUUACUCUUCAAGUCCUCACAAAUUAAUUGACUAUCAACUCAUGAUACAUGUGUAGAAAAUCUGAUAAUAUCGGUUAAUGAUUUGAGAAGUGUCGUUGUUUUUAUAAAAUGGCAUGUUUGCAUCAAGUUUAGUUCGAUUUUAAGCCUUAGGUGGAGCUUCGAAGUUAGCCGUUUGGUCUACGAACCAUCUCUCGCACUCUAAGAGUCAUGGCGGUGGCCUUUCUAAGUCUGAUCACAUGGUUUCUGGUAUUGCACACUGUGUCUGGUGAUACUUGCUUGAGCUCGGAAACCGUCAGUGAUUGUCUCUGUCACAGCGCGCCACCUCGUUUGCCACCGCAGCCCAGGUUCUGUCAUCCACCUCCAUCAUGUGUUCCAGAGAGAUUGGAAUGUGGCGGUUGGAACUGUGAUUCAUGGACCGAGGAAUGUGACCAAUCAAA
Lytechinus variegatus (green sea urchin) is the source of this 480-nucleotide long non-coding RNA. RefSeq lists it as uncharacterized. The record is from RefSeq and is a predicted model, not a curated record. NCBI's taxonomy places the organism in Eukaryota, Metazoa, Echinodermata, Echinoidea, Temnopleuroida, Toxopneustidae. The transcript is spliced from 3 exons.